This 506-nucleotide ribosomal RNA is filed under the name uncultured bacterium. RNAcentral describes it as "partial 16S ribosomal RNA". It matches the Rfam family "Bacterial small subunit ribosomal RNA", at positions 30 to 523 of the family's 1533-position model. The record is from RNAcentral.
AUUGAACGCUGGCGGCAGGCCUAACACAUGCAAGUCGAACGGUAACAGGAAUCAGCUUGCUGAUUCGCUGACGAGUGGCGGACGGGUGAGUAAUGUCUGGGAAACUGCCUGAUGGAGGGGGAUAACUACUGGAAACGGUAGCUAAUACCGCAUAAUGUCGCAAGACCAAAGAGGGGGACCUUCGGGCCUCUUGCCAUCGGAUGUCCCCAGAUGGGAUUAGCUAGUAGGUGGGGUAACGGCUCACCUAGGCGACGAUCCCUAGCUGGUCUGAGAGGAUGACCAGCCAAACUGGAACUGAGACACGGUCCAGACUCCUACGGGAGGCAGCAGUGGGGAAUAUUGCACAAUGGGCGCAAGCCUGAUGCAGCCAUGCCGCGUGUAUGAAGAAGGCCUUCGGGUUGUAAAGUACUCUCAGCGGGGAGGAAGGGAGUAAAGUUAAUACCUUUGCUCAUUGACGUUACCCGCAGAAGAAGCACCGGCUAACUCCGUGCCAGCAGCCGCGGUAA